AUUGAACGCUGGCGGCAGGCUUAACACAUGCAAGUCGAGCGGGGAAAGGUAGCUUGCUACCUGACCUAGCGGCGGACGGGUGGGUAAUGCUUAGGAAUCUGCCUAUUAGUGGGGGACAACAUUCCGAAAGGAAUGCUAAUACCGCAUACGCCCUACGGGGGAGAGCAGGGGAUCUUCGGACCUUGCGCUAAUAGAUGAGCCUAAGUCAGAUUAGCUAGUUGGUGGGGUAAAGGCCUACCAAGGCGACGAUCUGUAGCGGGUCUGAGAGGAUGAUCCGCCACACUGGGACUGAGACACGGCCCAGACUCCUACGGGAGGCAGCAGUGGGGAAUAUUAGACAAUGGGCGAACGCCUGAUCCAGCCAUGCCGCGUGUGUGAAGAAGGCCUUUUGGUUGUAAAGCACUUUAAGCGAGGAGGAGGCUACCGAGAUUAAUACUCUUGGAUAGUGGACGUUACUCGCAGAAUAAGCACCGGCUAACUCUGUGCCAGCCGCCGCCGUAA
This 501-nucleotide ribosomal RNA is filed under the name uncultured bacterium. RNAcentral describes it as "partial 16S ribosomal RNA". It matches the Rfam family "Bacterial small subunit ribosomal RNA", at positions 30 to 523 of the family's 1533-position model. The record is from RNAcentral.